Molecule: long non-coding RNA, 3146 nt
Organism: Micropterus dolomieu (smallmouth bass)
Lineage: Eukaryota; Metazoa; Chordata; Actinopteri; Centrarchiformes; Centrarchidae
Exons: 4
Source: RefSeq, a predicted model, not a curated record
ACCAGGAAACUUUCUUCCACACUGAUGUUUCACAGACAGGAACACUGUCACUGAAGGAGCUCAGGAAUGCAAUCACAGUUUCAGGAAUGAGGAUCAGCGAUGAAAUGCUGAAUAUAAUUGCUCUGCGCUACGGUUCCUCCUCUGGAUUCAUAACACUGGAAAACUUCAUCAGUCUAAUCCUUCGCAUUGACUGCAUGAACAACAUCUUCGGCCAGCUGUCUGAUGGAUUGACUGUCACUCUUCGAGAAUCAGAGUGGAUGUACCUUUCGAUGUACACUUAAGCUGACACAGAUGAUGGACUGCAGGAUUCACUUAGAAUUACAUCUGCAGAUGAUGUGAAAGGAAAUAAAUGCAAAAUGUGUUCUUCUACAAAUGAGCAGUUACAUGGUAUUAAACAGCAGAGCAUUUACAGUACUUUUAACUUUGCUAAUGGACGGGGUGAAACUCCCUUCGCCUCAUGUUCUCAUUCCUGUGACUCAGUGCAAAGUAACAUUGGGGAACAAAUGGGAUGAACAUGUCAGUUUAGAAGACGCAGGCUACUAAUUUUUGAUUUGCAACUUUGCUUACAUGUUACAGACAGUACAGCAGCCAAAAUGUACACUAGUACAGUUUAGGACUGUAUUGCAUGAGUGUGGUGUCUUUCCAAAAACUUUCUUUAAAAAACAAUUUUUUGUUAUUUUUGUUGUUUUUUGUUUUUUUGAUAAAAUGCUAUGUUUGGUACUGAAAAUUGAUUUUUUUUGUGUUCAAAUUGUAUAUAGAUUUAGAGCACUGUGAAUUGGAUCAUGAACACAAAACGUUUAUGAAUUAGUUAUUCGUAUUGUUACAUUGCUUGCAGCUUUUAUAUUUAAACUGUAAUAAUGUAUCCUAGAUUUUUCUUGUCACUUCUCAGAUGGUUGAAAUACGGUAGUAAUAUUAUAUUUUGUACCCCAAUGUAUAGAUUUAAGCAUUAUUGCAUCAUGUAAGUACAGUGGGUAAACUGGUACUGUAAAUUGUGCUUGGGAUCAGAUGGCAUCAAGAUUUAUUUUAAUGAUGUAAGAAUUAUUACUAUUAUAUUUCAUAAUUACUCAUAUAAAGUUAUAUUUACAUAAAUUAUGCUUGGUGCUCAAACACAGCCAAAGUGGAUAGACAAUGUUUAUCAAAUGUGGAAUUUUUAAUGUAAUGGAUGUCGGCCAUAUUAUCUGCCCAGAGAAUUCUUCAGUGUUUUUGUUGUUGCUGUUUCUAAUCCUCCAGACGCAAAUUUAAAAAAUGCAAGAGAGCACAUUCCCGUUGUCACUGACGUUUCUAUGAACACUUUGAGGGACUCUGACAUAGACCCAAUAUUUGUCAGUAUCACUGGACAAUUGAGAUACUUUAUGUUUAGAGUAAAAGCUUGUGGGUUUUUGUGAACUACAGUUCAUUACUAUUUGUUUAGUCCAGUUUACUUGGUCAGGAAAUCAAUCAAUUCCGUUGUUCUUGUUAAAUUUCCAUUAGCCAGUAUAUAAUACCGACAAUUGCAAUGAAUCUUUUGCCUGAACCUUAGAGGAUAAAUGUAAUUUUUUUAUCUGUCUCAAAUUGUUUCUUGAAAGCAAGCAUAACACAAGAUGUGAUAAGUUGUAGAGCUUGUUUUUGUUUUUGGCAGUGAUUACUUAUCAGUUAGCUGUAGAGUUGCACCACAUAAUGCAAGUAGGUUCCUAUUACUAGAAAUACAGUAUGCUAAAGUGUGUGCAUAAAACCUACUGUCUCAAAACAAAAAAGAGAUAUGUAUAUUUACCCUGUGUUGAUGCACCAGUGCUGCUUGCAGUUGAUGCAGCAGUGUUUGUGCUGCUUUCGGAGCUGAGAGGUGCAGUGGUUGGGUCGGUUCUGUUGGUGGUUAGGCCCAGACCCAGUCUGUCCAGGUCUGAUUGCAACCGCAUGUUCACCCAGGUCUGAAUCACAGUAUCAUUCUCAAACAGCUUCAGAUCUUGUAGCUGCAGUCGCUGUCACACACUUGUAACUUACAUGAAAAGAUCAUAGUUUUUCUAGAGACAAUUUGGUAUAAACUAUUGUCAUAACAUUUUAACUAACGGCUUGUCAGACUUCUCUUAGGGUUGGCAUACUUGGCCCAGUACUCACAAUAAAGAACAUCAUACAUUUUGUAACUUUUUUUGCACUCUGUUAGUACAAACAGUAUUCUAUGUUAAAAAGAAAGGAUGACAAAUUACAGAGGAUCACAACUCAUCUAGAGCAUUGAGAGAGUUGCUCUGAUGGAUGUAUCCUGUUGUGAUGCAUGUGACAUUCAUUAUAAUUUGGUAUCACUUACCUAGAUGAUAGAGUUAUACUUUUUAAAAGAACAUUCCUCACAGGGAUUGUAGUUACAUUAACGAUGUAAGUAGUGUACAUGAAAACAGUACAAUGCAAUAGUAGCUUCAGGUAGACCAGUUAGGAUUAAUUCAUUCCCUUUAUUACACAUCAUACUUUUGCUCUGUGUAUGUUGAACAGGAUCAGCAAUGACAUGUUGUAUUUGAUGGCUCUGCGCUACAGUGCCCCCUGUGGACACAAGACACUGGAAAGCGUCUCACUAAAGAUAAUGAUGGUGAUGGAGCAGUGGAUAAACCCAUUCCCUUGGUUUGAUUCCCACCACAACAUCCACCAAUGUGUCCCUGAGCAAGACACUUAACCCCUAGUUUCUCCAGAGGCGUGCAACCUCUGUAAGAAUUCUUUUCACCAGUUCAAGGUUUAAACGUUUCACACUGUUGUUGAUCUAGACUAGAAGAAUAGAAUGACACAAUGUAAUAAUAAUAAUCAUUCAUUUAGCUGACGCUUUUAUCCAAAGUGACUUACUAUCACUAAGUAUUUCAGAGGAUGGACGGCUCUGGAACAACUAAGGGUUAAGUGUUUUGCUCAGGGACACAUUGGUGUGUCACAGCGGAUUUGAACCCGAUGUUCUGUCGAUAUGUGCUACCUAUUGAGAUGUGCUACUUGGCAGUUCUUUGCAUGGCUAAUGGUUAGAGUUAGGAUUAGACACCAACAAUUUGCACUAAAUUAGCAUUUUUCCAUAAGGAAGCAUAAAUUGUCAGAGCACCGGGUCUCUCACACCAAAUGCAUGUGUCCACUGCACCAUCAUGUUUUCUGUGAUAAGAGAUGCGUUGUUGUGUAAAUGUUGCAUAAAUAAAAUGUCUCCCUCUUUA